UAUAGAGGAGACAAGUUUAGGACUUCAAGAUAGAGUCCAUUCCUAACGUUGACACCCAAAAUCAUCCAGGUUCUACAUACAUGAAGACACAUUAGCACUUACUGAAGAGAGAACUCUAUCGCUGAUUGAGAGGACUGUGCUAGAUCCUAGAAUGCAAAUGAGCAUUUAAGCCUAACUGAUGGACA
Molecule: long non-coding RNA, 185 nt
Organism: Tupaia belangeri chinensis (Chinese tree shrew)
Lineage: Eukaryota; Metazoa; Chordata; Mammalia; Scandentia; Tupaiidae
Exons: 3
Source: RefSeq, a predicted model, not a curated record